CUACGUGCCAGCAGCCGCGGUAAUACGGAAGGUCCAGGCGUUAUCCGGAUUUAUUGGGUUUAAAGGGAGCGUAGGCGGAUUGUUAAGUCAGCGGUUAAAGGGUGUGGCUCAACCAUGCAUUGCCGUUGAAACUGGCGAUCUUGAGUGCAGACAGGGAUGCCGGAAUUCGUGGUGUAGCGGUGAAAUGCUUAGAUAUCCUGAAGAACUCCGAUCGCGAAGGCAGCCAUCCGGAGCGUAACUGACGCUGAGGCUCGAAGGUGCGGGUAUCAAACAGGAUUAGAUACCCUGGUAGUCCGCACGGUAAACGAUGAAUACUCGCAGUUCGGUUAUUAUGGUCGAGCUGUCCAGCGAAAGCGUUAAGUAUUCCACCUGGGGAGUACGCCGGCAACGGUGAAACUCAAAGGAAUUGACGGGGGCCCGCACAAGCGGAGGAACAUGUGGUUUAAUUCGAUGAUACGCGAGGAACCUUACCCGGGCUUGAAC
This 483-nucleotide ribosomal RNA is filed under the name uncultured bacterium. Its description in RNAcentral is "bacterial SSU rRNA". It matches the Rfam family "Bacterial small subunit ribosomal RNA", at positions 501 to 986 of the family's 1533-position model. The record is from RNAcentral.